GGAAGGAUCAUUCACGCUAGAUCCACCAAACUGUUGAAUAUGUUUUAUUAAGACUUUAUGAAGUCUCUGCGGUGAAUGUUUCGGUUCCCAUAACGAUGAAGGACGUAGCAUUAUGCGAUAAUCAGUGCGAAUUGCAGAAGAAUGUGAACCGAUCAGGUAUCUUAACGCAUGCGGCACAUGAGACGCAAGUCUCACUGUGCGUUCGGCUCAGUGCAGUAAUAAGUGUUUUUGUGUCGUCUCAGACAGGCGUCACAUAUUUGUUGCCUCAAUGCUUGGCAGACUGAAAAUCGCAAGUAUGAGUGUUUAUACAUUGGACUGGAGCUCGGGCGCGGUUACCCGCUGAACUUAAGCAUAUUAGUAGGCGGAGCAAAAGUAACUAACAAGGAUUCCUUUAGUAGUUGCGAACGAACAGGGAAGAACUCGAAUUGAAAAUCGCUUGGGGAUUAACUUCAAGUGAAUUGUAGUGUUGAAGGGUGAUUCCGGCGUCUGGCUCAAGCAAAAGUCUCGUGGAAAAGAGCACGCAACAGGGUGAGAGUCCCGUGGUUGCUUGUUGCAUGACGCAUUCGGAACGCUUUAUCGAGAGUCGCGUUUCUCGGGAAUGAAGCGCUAAUUGAAUGGUAAAUUGCAUUGGAGGUAUAAACAAUUAUGGGAGACCGAUAGCGAACAAGUACCGCGAGGGAAAGAUGAAAAGAACUUUGGAAAGAGAGUUAAAACUCCCUGAAGCUGCAGAGAAGGAAGCGGUGUUAACUGUCGAAUUUUCUAGUAUGGUUCCGAGCGACAUGUGUUUGAUGUGCGGAUCUCCUGCAUUUCCGUAUUUCAUAACCUGUGUUGUCUUGUAGUUCCUGCUGGAGUUGCACGCUGCGUGUGUUCCUCUUCCAGGCCAAAUUGAUUUAUCCAGUUCUGCUGGUCAACAUUUUUGGUGACUGGAUAGAGAAACUCGCGAGGUAUUCGGCAUUUAUUUCCUUUUGGAAAGAGUGUCACGGCAAUUGUGAGAACGGUUUACACCGACCCGUCUUGAAACACGGAUCAAGGAGUCCAACAUGGUCACGAGUUGCAAGGAGAAAAACCUUGGAGCGCAAUGAAAAUGAAUUUUACAAUAACAACCGACUACACUUAGAGGUUCGAGGGAGAGUGGUCAUGUUGGGACCCGAAAGAUGGUGAACUAUGCCUGGACAGGGUGAAGCCAGGGGAAACCCUGGUGGAAGCUCGCAGCGAUACUGACGUGCAAAUCGUUCGUCUAAUCUGGGUAUAGGGGCGAAAGACUAAUCGAACCAUCUAGUAGCUGGUUCCCUC
This 1293-nucleotide unclassified non-coding RNA is filed under the name uncultured fungus. RNAcentral describes it as "sequence contains 18S rRNA gene, ITS1, 5.8S rRNA gene, ITS2, 28S rRNA gene". The stretch from base 313 to 1293 matches the Rfam family "Eukaryotic large subunit ribosomal RNA", at positions 1 to 961 of the family's 3401-position model. Lineage: Eukaryota; Fungi. The record is from RNAcentral.